GAUUGGAGGGGCUGAAACCACCUGUGCUGCCCCUGUGUGCCUGCUGCUGGGUUGCCCCGACUCGAAGUCAGGCCUGUCUGCUUUUGGUUCCCGCUGUGCAGGGAAGCCUGGAUGUGAUUCAUCAAGGGAUGUCUGAUUUGCUUAGCGGGGAGCCCUCCGGCUGCCAGGUGGAAGCACAAAGUGGUUCGUCAGCAGCUGCAAAGGAGUUGACAGGUGUCUGCAUCGGGCUUCCUGCUAAUUAAGCGCUGUUGUGAGUCGCAGGCAAAGGGAUGGAGGAGCCAGGAAGAAGCUCACCCAUGAAGUCUGGAUCCCCAGAGCGCUGCAGACACAUUUUGUUAUCCUGGCUGUCAAGAAGCUUAAAGAGCUGCUGAUGCCUUCUGGAAAACUUUGACAAACCCUCUGUUUGGGCACCGUGCUGCCUCCCCAGCCUGUCUGCCCGGGCUUUCUGCUCCCCGCUUCUUUAUUAGCAGUGAUGUCUGUGAGGAUAGGAGGAG
RNAcentral lists this long non-coding RNA (494 nucleotides) under Gallus gallus (chicken). RNAcentral describes it as "lncRNA (ENSGALG00010022445.1)". Lineage: Eukaryota; Metazoa; Chordata; Aves; Galliformes; Phasianidae. The record is from RNAcentral.